UGGGGGAUAUUGCACAAUGGGCGAAAGCCUGAUGCAGCGACGCCGCGUGGGGGAUGAAGGCCUUCGGGUUGUAAACUUCUUUUGCUCUGAACAAGGCAUGCCUUUGGGGUGUGUUGAGUGUAGGGGUUGAUUAGCGCCGGCUAACUACGUGCCAGCAGCCGCGGUAAUACGUAGGGCGCGAGCGUUGUCCGGAAUUAUUGGGCGUAAAGGGCUUGUAGGUGGCUGGUUGCGUCUGUCGUGAAAGCUCAUGGCUUAACUGUGGGUUUGCGGUGGGUACGGGCUGGCUUAAGUGCAGUAGGGGAGGCUGGAAUUCCUGGUGUAGCGGUGGAAUGCGCAGAUAUCAGGAGGAAUACCGGUGGCGAAGGCGGGUCUCUGGGCUGUUACUGACGCUGAGGAGCGAAAGCGUGGGGAGCAAACAGG
Molecule: ribosomal RNA, 420 nt
Filed under: Fusobacteriota bacterium
Lineage: Bacteria; Fusobacteriati; Fusobacteriota
Description: Fusobacteria bacterium partial 16S ribosomal RNA
Rfam family: Bacterial small subunit ribosomal RNA
Source: RNAcentral